This 73-nucleotide transfer RNA is filed under the name Danionella translucida. It matches the Rfam family "tRNA". Rfam says of the family: Transfer RNA (tRNA) molecules are approximately 80 nucleotides in length. Their secondary structure includes four short double-helical elements and three loops (D, anti-codon, and T loops). Further hydrogen bonds mediate the characteristic L-shaped molecular structure. tRNAs have two regions of fundamental functional importance: the anti-codon, which is responsible for specific mRNA codon recognition, and the 3' end, to which the tRNAs corresponding amino acid is attached (by aminoacyl-tRNA synthetases). tRNAs cope with the degeneracy of the genetic code in two manners: having more than one tRNA (with a specific anti-codon) for a particular amino acid; and 'wobble' base-pairing, i.e. permitting non-standard base-pairing at the 3rd anti-codon position. Lineage: Eukaryota; Metazoa; Chordata; Actinopteri; Cypriniformes; Danionidae. RNAcentral also lists the same sequence under 1 other name. The record is from Rfam by way of RNAcentral.
GCAGAAAUAGCGCAGUUUGGAGAGCGUUAGACUGAAGAUUUAAAGGUCCCUGGUUCAAUCCCGGGUUUCGGCA